Molecule: long non-coding RNA, 663 nt
Organism: Neofelis nebulosa (Clouded leopard)
Lineage: Eukaryota; Metazoa; Chordata; Mammalia; Carnivora; Felidae
Exons: 3
Source: RefSeq, a predicted model, not a curated record
AGUGUGAAGGCAGGGAAAGCCCUCUGGGUAUUAAGAACACCGCACUGCAAGGGCUGGGCCCCUGCCCACUGUUUACCUGGUCCCUGCACUUCCUCUAACUCCACUGUCAUGGGGAGACCCCAACCCACUGUUCUUUACUAUGUGCCCUUCCCAGGGCUGUGGAUCCCACCUCCCUUAUCUAUUGUUCUUCCUACCCAACUCACACUCGCGGCCCUGCUGUGGAACGCUUGGAUUCUGUGGAACGCAUUCCGAUUUCUGUCUUGGAUACCCCUGUUUCCAAGACAUCUUUAGGCACAAACCCCCUGACCUUUACUCUCAGGCCCACUGGCAACUGGCCCCUUCACAAUCUCCCACAGGGGCUCAACUUAGGCUCACAGCUCCAGUUCAGAAAAAGAGAAGAGCUUUUGUGAGGGGACAGAGGUCUCCAGUGCCAUGGCUCCUCUUUGUCCUGAUAAGGCUUCCACUGGGCCCAGGCAGCUCUGGGCUGGAGUCACCUAUGAGCACUGAGGCUACAGGAUAUCAGGACCACUGGUUGAUGUGAUGGAGCCAUUCGACUUCAUGAGGCUUUGCAGGGGCUGCUGUCCAGUGGUGACGGUGUGACAAUGAAAGAAGUUUGGACUCUGACUAAAGAAACAUUCCUCCACGGGGCUGGUGUUGUCUUUC